CAACCCCGCCGCUCUCACUCGCCUAACAGAAGCCGAGCUGAGAGCAUCAUCCGCUUUGAGCGCUUAGGCGCAGUGAUUACAUCCUCUCACAGAGGGAGAAAGUCCUGCUAUUCGCCAGUCCUGCUUUUAUGAUUUUGUAGAAGUUGCAUUUGUUGUAGAUUCCGCCCGUGCGUAAAAAGGGACUUUUUUUGUUUUCUUAUUUUUGUUCCUACUCGUGUGGAAUUCCCUGGUGUUUUGUGACUUUGUGUGAAGAAAGGGACUGUCUGUUCUGUGCACAGGGAGUGUUGGCUAUGCGUCCUGGCUCCAGCCUGCAAUGUUUUGCGCCGACGCCAAAACUGACAGACCGGUGCAGAAUUGAUUAAAAAACAGAGAAGCUCGGAUCAAAUGGCUGUGCUUCUCACAGCUGAAACGACACAAUGUUCCACUGACCCGAGGCAGAGGAGAGGAAUUUCACAAUCGGGCAGCCUUGUUGCUGUUUAUUUCACUGCCUUUUUACGGACAGAGGAAAUGGGAAAUGCUCAUUUCUUGUAAGGAAAGGGAAUAAUACUUAUUUUUUUCUUCCCCUCCCCUCCGCAGCCCCCGUCUUGAAGUGCACUUUUUGUGAGAGGGAGAGGAGAUGAUUUGGUUAAUUUUCCUGUUCUCCAUCCUGGAUGGAGCUGUCUCUCAGCUCCACUACUCCGUGCCAGAGGAGCAGGAACCUGGCUCCGUGGUUGGGAAUAUCGCAGAGGAUUUGGGGCUGGACAUUACGAAACUUUCCGCUCGCCGCUUCCAGACGGUGCCGAGUUCACGGACACCGUAUCUGGAGGUGAACUUAGAGAACGGCGCGCUCGUGGUGAAGGAGAAAAUCGACCGGGAAGAAAUAUGCAAGCAGAGCACCCCGUGCCUACUGCACCUGGAGGUGUUUUUGGAGAACCCGCUGGAGCUCUUUCGCGUGGAAAUAGAAGUGAUGGAUAUCAACGACAAUCCUCCCAGCUUUCCCGAGACCGACAUUUCCGUGGAGAUAUCGGAGAGCGCCAUUCCCGGGACCCGUUUCCCGGUGGAGAACGCCUUCGACCCGGACGUGGGCACAAACGCGCUCAGCACAUACGCCAUAACGAACAAUAACUACUUCUACCUUGACGUGCAGACGCAGAGCGACGGGAACAAGUUCGCGGAGCUGGUGCUGGAGAAGCCGCUGGACAGGGAGCAGCAGGCGGUGCACCGCUACGUGUUGACGGCUGUGGACGGGGGCAUCCCGCAGCGCACCGGGACGGCUCUCCUGGUCGUUAAAGUCCUGGACUCGAACGACAACGCGCCCACCUUUGACCAGUCCGUGUACUCUGUCAACCUGCGGGAAAACUCUCCCGUGGGCACUCUGGUAAUUCAGCUCAACGCCACGGAUGUUGACGAGGGACAAAACGGGGAAAUAGUUUAUUCGUUCAGCAGUCACAACGCCCCACGGAUAAAGGACUUAUUCAACAUCGAUGCCCGGACAGGUAGGAUAGAGGUGGCGGGGGAGGUGGACUAUGAGGAGAGCAACACGCAUCAGAUUUACGUCCAGGCUAAAGAUCUGGGGGCUAACGCGGUUCCCGCGCACUGCAAAGUGCUGGUCAAACUCACAGACGUGAACGACAACACGCCGGAGAUCGGUUUCAGCACUGUGACCGAAUCCGUGAGCGAGCAGGACGCCCCGGGCACCGUGAUCGCACUUUUCAGCGUCUCGGACAGGGACGCUGGCGAUAAUGGACACAUGAGCUGCGAGAUAUUAGGAGACGUUCCAUUCAAGCUGAAGUCCUCGUUUAAAAACUACUACACCAUCGUGACUGACGGUCCGCUGGACAGAGAGAGCACGGACUCCUACACCGUCACCGUGGUGGCCAAAGACAAGGGCCAGCCGUCGCUGGCCACCAGCAAGUCCAUCAAAGUGCACGUGUCCGACGAGAACGACAACGCUCCGCGCUUUACGCAGGCUGUUUAUGAUGUGUAUGUGACUGAGAAUAACGUGCCCGGUGCGUUCAUUCACGCUGUAAGCGCUCUGGACCCUGACAUGGGACACAACGCUCUUAUUACCUACUCCAUAUUGGAGUGCGACAUACAGGGCAUGUCUGUGGACACCUAUGUGUCCAUAAACCAGGACACAGGUUACCUUUACGCGCUGCGCUCUUUUGAUUACGAGCAGCUGAAGGAGUUCAGCUUCAUGGUCCAGGCUAAAGACUCUGGCGCCGCCGAGCUCUUCUCCAACGCCACCGUGAAUGUCAUCAUAGUGGACCAAAACGACAACGCCCCCGCUGUGAUAGCCCCAAUCGGUAAAAACGGCACAGCCAAAGAGCACCUGCCGCGCUCUGCAGAGCCCGGGUACCUGGUGACGCGCAUUGUAGCCAUGGAUGCGGACGACGGCGAGAACGCACGGCUGUCGUACAGCAUCCUGCGGGGGAACGAGAUGGGGAUGUUCCGCAUGGAUUGGCGCACGGGGGAGCUGAGGACAUCCCGCAGGAUCUCUCCUAAGCGGGACCCACAGGGGUACUACGACCUGCUGAUCGAGGUGAGGGACCACGGGCAGCCCCCACUCUCCUCCUCCGCAAGCGUGAGCGUGGUGUUGGUUGACAGCGUAGUGGAAGGCCGCAGCGGGGACCGGGGCUCGGCCUCCAAGGCCAAGGAGACCUCCCUGGACCUGACUCUGAUCCUCAUCAUCGCUCUGGGCUCCGUGUCCUUCGUCUUCCUGCUGGCUAUGAUCGUGCUGGCCGUGCGCUGCCAGAAGGACAAGAAGCUCAACCUGUACACGUGCCUCAUGGCCGGUAACUGCUGCCUGUGUUGUAGCGCGUGCUGCAGCCGGCAGGCCCGCGGGCGCAAGCAGAAGAAGCUGAGCAAGUCCGACAUCAUGUUGGUCCAGAGCACCAACGUGACGUCAGGGGUCGGGGCCGUGGGCCAGGUGCCCGUGGAGGAGUCCGGGGUGGGCGGCGUGGGAGGGGGCUUCGGCUCCCACCACCACCAGAACCAGAACUCCUACUGCUACCAGGUGUGUCUGACGCCGGAGUCCGCCAAGACGGAUCUGAUGUUCCUGAAGCCGUGCAGCCCCUCCCGGAGCACGGACACGGAUCACGCCAACCCCUGCGGCGCCAUAGUCACGGGUUACAGUGACCAACAGCCGGACAUCAUAUCCAACGGCAGUAUCCUUUCUAACGAGACAAAACACCAACGAGCAGAACUCAGCUAUCUGGUGGACAGACCCAGACGUGUCAACAGUUCGGCUUUCCAAGAGGCCGACAUCGUCAGCUCCAAAGACAGUGGUCAUGGCGACAGCGAACAGGGCGACAGUGACCAUGACGCCACUAACCGGGGUCAUUCAGCCGGCACCGACCUGUUCUCUAACUGCACGGAGGAGUGCAAAGCCCUGGGCCACUCGGACCGCUGCUGGAUGCCGUCCUUUGUGCCGUCCGACGGGCGCCAGGGGCCGGACUACCGCAGCAACCUGCACGUGCCCGGGAUGGACGCCACACUGCCCGACACUGAGGUACCCGCCUCUGUCAACCUGUCCGACCAACUCACCGUGACCGCGUCCACCGCCUCGGCCAGCGAUAGGUCAUUCUCCACCUUUGGCAAGGAGGGUCAAAGGUCACAGUCACACCACAGCCUUCACCAUCACCUCCAUCAGCAACAGCAGCAGUACAGCUCCAGCACGCUAGAGAGGAAAGAGUAUGAUAGGGGGACCCUACCGUACAAAGCCACCUUUCUCUGUGAGUAUCAGUAUGAAAGUUCCCUGGGACCCUACGACUUCGGUCUGGUCCAGUACAGAUACUAGAGAUGGGGAGGAUGAAUCUGAUCCGGACUUUUUUUAUGUUGUUCAUCUACUUUUUCUUCUUCUAUUUUUAGUUUUUUUUAAAACGGCUUUAUGUUUUGUUUUGUUUUAAAUUAUGAUUUAUUUUGUGGAAUGUAAAAUGUACGCUAUUAUUGCUAACUCCCCCUUUUUCCAAACCCACUUUGAAAAAAUUCUAUCUAACCCCAUCCUAACCCUCACUACUGUCUGUAAUGAUGUGACUUAUUAUAAAAUAAACACAAUUUAAAUUGGACCCAUGUUAAUCCGCUGUGGCCCUUUUUUUUUUACUUUUUAAUUACCUUUCUCUAAAUUUCCCCCUCAAAAUCCUCUCCAAUCAGCUUUUUUAUCUGAUGCUCAUAUAAGUAAAGGUCACCGACACAAGCACACGUCACAUUUCCAUUCCAAAACCUGAAUCCAGUAUAUAGAGAGGAAAUGAAAGCUAGAUCAUCUCAUGCUGCGAAGGACAUCUUUUUCUUUCUCCAUUUGCUCAACAACAGAGUUUAGCUCGAGCGUGAUGGCUUCCCUACUGAAUAGCUCCAAAGGUGAAACGCACAACCCACGCUUAGUCUCUUUCAUGAGGAUUGAAGUCCGUUUUGUGCUAAAAAGGAAGUGUCGAGUAUCUAUACUCGCCUGCUUGUGGAUCAAUACCUGACAUAAAGAAGGGCGGGGUGGGUGAGGUGGGCUGUCAAGCCUCGGGUCAAGAUUCUUCAGCUGGAGGAGACACGACACACAGGUUACUAUAUGAGGGCGCUAUCAUUUAGCAAAUGAAAUAUAUUCAUAUCCAUUGGAAUAAAAUGGAGUUUCCCUGCUUGCGUUUUCUAAAGGAGCAUGGUGUGGACAUGAUGGCUGGACACUUCUUGCACAUGUCAAUUGCUUUCCCAGCUCCCACAUUACAUGAAUAUUCUAUUAGCUCUAAGAGUAGCGAAUGGAUUCGAUGUACACAUUCAGUAGAGAAGUCAUUUCCAGUCAAGUCACCGCCAUGCUAACCACCAUCCUCCAUGAUACUGCAUGCAGACCGUGGGAUGUCCCUCAGCCCGCAAAAGGAUUUGCUAGCUCGUUCCACGUGGACCUGUCGGAGACAGCGUGAGUUUCUGUGCUAGACCACCAACACUGAUGCUGGAGACAGCAACGUUAAAACUACACAAACAGCAACCCCGGACAACAGCAACCUUGGUCAAGCUUCAUUAUCUCGUGUGGCGAACUGUAACAAAGCCCUGGCAGUGGUCGCCGAGGGGGGAGAGGAGAACUAAAUACUGAGUAGCUGUAAACCACUAGAUAACUGAGGAGCGAUCCAAGGCCUUAUUCCUCUCAGCAGGACUGAGACCGGGGCCCCAAAAAGCACUUGACAUGUGAACAUUAUAAAUUCAUCAGCAGACGGAUGAGAGGAAGUUAAAGGAACAGAGGAGUGCAAAACAAGAAGAGGGAGCGAUUAACUCACAGAGGUGGGUUGUGUCUUGUUUUUUCUGGACUGAGGAGUUAGCCUCUAGAGAUCUGUGUGUGCCUGUUUACAUGAAGAAGAAAAAAAAACCUAACGUUUCUGUACAAACCAAUGUCACACGGAACCCUUUAGCUAUUUCUAUGGUCACCACUUAGCCAACUGUACAGAGACUGUGUGUGUUAGGGGGUGAGGGGGGGGGGGGGGGGGGGUGGAGACUGACAGCGGAGACACUGGGCGAGAGACAGACUACUAGACAGAGAGAGGGAGCGGGUGUUGUACAGGUGUAAAAUCACGCAACAAAAAGGAAAA
Molecule: RNA transcript, 5540 nt
Organism: Etheostoma spectabile (orangethroat darter)
Lineage: Eukaryota; Metazoa; Chordata; Actinopteri; Perciformes; Percidae
Gene: pcdh10a
Gene name: protocadherin 10a
Exons: 5
Source: RefSeq, a predicted model, not a curated record